Sphaerobacter thermophilus DSM 20745 is the source of this 86-nucleotide non-coding RNA. The record is from Rfam. Lineage: Bacteria; Pseudomonadati; Thermomicrobiota; Thermomicrobia; Sphaerobacterales; Sphaerobacteraceae.
CCUGACCUGCGGACGUGAUGACCCCUGUGGUGAGCAUGGACGCCGUGCCACCGGGCGAGCGAGUGGCGUACCCGGCCUCGGUCAGG